RNAcentral lists this ribosomal RNA (254 nucleotides) under uncultured bacterium. Its description in RNAcentral is "partial 16S ribosomal RNA". It matches the Rfam family "Bacterial small subunit ribosomal RNA", at positions 524 to 776 of the family's 1533-position model. The record is from RNAcentral.
UACGUAGGGGGCAAGCGUUAUCCAGAUUUACUGGGUGUAAAGGGAGCGUAGGUGGCAUGGUAAGCCAGAAGUGAAAACCCGGGGCUCAACCCCGCGGAUUGCUUUUGGAACUAUCAGGCUGGAGUGCUGGAGGGGUAAGCGGAAUUCCUAGUGUAGCGGUGAAAUGCGUAGAUAUUAGGAGGAACACCGGUGGCGAAGGCGGCUUACUGGACAGAAACUGACACUGAGGCUCGAAAGCGUGGGGAGCAAACAGG